This is a long non-coding RNA of Ananas comosus (pineapple), 724 nucleotides long. RefSeq lists it as uncharacterized. The transcript is spliced from 2 exons. Lineage: Eukaryota; Viridiplantae; Streptophyta; Magnoliopsida; Poales; Bromeliaceae. The record is from RefSeq and is a predicted model, not a curated record.
UUUUUUUUUUUUCUUCGUAUUCGGAGCCGAAAAUUUCUUUGGUUACUCUUCUUGAUGGGGCGGAGAGAGAGGAAAAGUGUAGUAGUGUAGACAGGUCGAAGGCCAUCCGUAAUUACUCAGAUAAAUCCUGAUACUUUUGAUGAUGCGCGCUUCUAAUGUCAGCUUAUGAACCCUUCUAGAGUGAGCAAAAUGAUUUUUAAGCCCUUUAAUUCAGAGUAAACCUAUUGAGGUCAUAAGAAAGAUAACCUCGAAUUUCACUCCAGAUUCCCAGUUGUACUUGUUGUACUCGUCGCGUCUUGGAUCUUGUUACACUUUCAAUGUGUAUGUGCCUUCUUAUUAGUGUUUUUCUUUCUCGGCCAACAACAAAUGCAGAUCAUUUCCAUUCUCAUGUCAAGAUGUUGUGACGAACCAGCAUCAGGAUGGUAGAAAUUGUGCCCCUUGUGAUUGAGAGUUAUUUCUACAUUUGCUUGGAAUCCGCGCGUUGCGUGGAAGUUAUUGAUAAACCUGUGCCCUAAUUUUUUGAUGCUUUUAGUUAGUCAUCAGUUUUGAUGAUUGUUGUUAUAGUUGAGGUUUAAAUUCCCAUGGUGGUGUUGAGAUGAGAGCUUAGGAUAAGAGAGUCUUAGUAGUGCCUUUCUAAUUGUGGUUUGUAGAUCCUUUAUAAUUGAUUGGUGCAGAAGUGAGGUGUUGAAGUUUUAGUUUAUAAAAUAAAGUUUGUGAUGUAAAA